Molecule: long non-coding RNA, 4227 nt
Organism: Homo sapiens (human)
Lineage: Eukaryota; Metazoa; Chordata; Mammalia; Primates; Hominidae
Gene: PARAIL
Product: palmitic acid regulated anti-inflammatory lncRNA
Source: Ensembl
UUCCUCUCUCGCAGCCCCGGCCCUCCCCCCGGCGCGCGCAGCGACCAGCUCCGGCCGCCCGAGCUCCUCCCUCCCCAAACUUCGCAGGUUACGUCAGCGGCGGACGGCAAGGCGGGGAGAGGGGCAGCCCGCUCGCGGCCCUCCCGCCUGGCUCUCGCCUCGGCCUGCGGCCGGGAUCCUCCGCCCGGGUCGCGCAGCGGAGGCCGAGGGCUGGGACGGGCGGCUGGGAAGUGGGAAAGGGAGCUCCUUUUGUCUUCUCUUCCCAUCCCCCAGGUUUGGGAAAGUUUUCCUUUUGGGAAAGCCCCUCUCUUCAGCCUGCUGGCGGGUGUCGGAUUGGUUAGCGACCACCGGCCCCCGCCUCCCCCAACAGGAUUCUCCUUUGGGCCACAGGUCUUCCGGAAGUUGCCAAACCCCGGUAGCGGCAGCGUCCGGCUGGGGGCUUUAUUAGGGGGCACCGGGGUCUGCUUUCCGACUCCCUUCCGACUCCGCGCCUGCGCAGGAAGCGAUUUGGGGAGUGUUGUGAAUUCCGAGGGCUCCACACUUAAGAGGUUGUACACUCACCUGUCUACCUGGACUCCAAUUUCCAUAUUUCCAGCCACUUGAGGACUGAGAGGUGGAUGAUAAACCCUGUCAUAGUGGAGCAAGUUCAGGUGUUUAACCGCUGUUAUGGGGGAUCUGCCUUUUCUCCCUCUUCUUUCUUACUUCCAUAAGUAUGUAUGUGCAGAGAUUGAAAAAUAACCUUGAGAGAGUCCAUCCAUCUAACUCCAGUUCAUUGGAAAUUUCUGCUUCUUUGAGACUGAGGUUAUAUUCCACUUCUUCUGACUACACCACCACCAUCAAUCUCCUUCUCUGAACUCUUGGAUCAUUACUUCAACCUGAAACAACUCAUCAGGCAGAAUAGUUGCCUACUGCCCCAACCCCACCAAAUGUUCCAGCACCUCUGAUAUUACCUCACAUGGCAAGAGGGCUUUGAAGAUGUGAUUGAGUCAAGGAUCUUGAAUGGGGAGAUUAUCCUGAAUUAUUCAGCUGGACCCAGUGUAAUCACAAAGGUUUUUCAAAGAUGGAAGAGAGGCAGAAGAGCCAGAAAAGGAUAUGUGACAAUGGAGUCAGUGUCAGAGUUGGAGUGACGUGAUGUGAGAAGGAUUCAACCUGCUGUUUCUGGCUUUGAGGAUGAAAGAAGGGGCCAUGAGCCAAGCAAUACAGGUGGCUUCUUUCAAGAAGUUGGAAAAGUGGUAAUAUUUUAUGUUAUUUUGGUUUGAUUUUUGUUUGUGGCAUAUGGCUCUGCUGUCCUGUGACUCUAAGUAGAAGAGAAAAUAGUGCCAAUAAUUCUUCAUGGAGAUGCACCUCUCUCAAGUCUUGAACAAUGUUUGAGGAAAAGUGCUUUCAGCUGGGCUGAUGAGAACACCUUGGCACUCUUUCCUGCAAUGGGCACUGAUUGAGGGUCUUCCUGGUGUGGCAUCAUCAAAUCCCUGUUGCUCAAACCCACUAAUUAGCUCAUUCUUAUCUACAAGUAGCAGGGGCCCUAAAGCUCUCUGAGAAGAUCUCAUACUGUGUCUCCUACAUUUCAUCUUCUAUAAUCUCUUAUUCUUAGAGACAGAAAGAUGGUUAAAAGACAUCACUUCAUUUCUUUCUCUGGAUUUGGAAAGAGUUAUAUAUUGGGAUUAUGCUGUUAGUUUACACUUGCAUUGUUUAAAUUAGAGGAAAGGUUAUUUUGUGCAGAACAAAUAAAAAUUACUCUUUAACUACCUUUCAGAAUAUCCCAACUUUUAACAUAAGCUGUUUUGUAAAGGCUGGUUGUAGUGACUUGCUUCAUAAUAGACUAUUAAAAUAAGAUGCAUUGAAAUCUUGUUCUUUUCUUUGCAAUACCAUGUAUCAGCUUUGUUUUGAGAGGCAAACUCAAUUUUCCCCUGAAAUUAGGAAAUUACUGUAAGGGACUGGAAUGACACACAAGAAAAGAUUACAUCAUAGCAGGGAGACUAGCCAGUUAGAAUGGGGAUUUCUUUACAAACACUAGACUGGACUAUGGAUUAUAAUUUACCUAGUGUUAAUAGUUGCAGUCAUACAUUAAGGACAAUAUGUAUGUUCUUUAGUUUUUUGUCACUGAGCAGAGGUAGAAACAGGGAAACAACAAAGGCCGAAUAAUUUCCAGCCAUUGCUGCUUUGUUUGCACGGAGCCCUUUGAAAUGUGAACUAAGAAUAUUUCUCAGAAGGUUUUUAGGUGAUUCAUAUACACAGUAAAGUUUCAGAAGUGCUAUAUUCGAGGGCAUAUGGAAACCCAUGGCUUUUCUGCUAGAGGAUUGUCAAAAGUCCAGAAUUUCAUAACUAAAUACCAUGAAUUUAGUAUAGUAGAGCACAGAACUAAAGGCUGUCUUGUGGCUGCAAAGAGUUGACUUCACAUAGCAUAAACUAUAGUCUAAGACAGUGACUUAGACAUAAGAGAGAAUAGAACUUGGUAACUGGGAUUGUUUUACAGCGUGAUCAUGUAUAUUUCUAUAUUAUUCUAAAAAUAUUUAUUAUAUUUAUAUAAAAAUUGUUACAACCGUGUACAAGUGUGCAUAAAUAAAUAGUGUAUUUAUGUAGUCUUUAUUUGAAUGUCAGGCCAGUUAGAGAAGCUAGACAUGUAUAACCAGUUUAGUCUUAACAAUCAAGUUCAGAAAAUAAUAUGUAGACUUCCACCUAGUUCCUUUUCUGAAUAAUAUUAUAGACUUAAGGAAGCUAAUAAGAGUCCAAGAUUCUCUGAGUGCCUUUGUGAAUUAUUUCAUCUGAUUCAUGUAUGUACCUUCAUAUAAUGGCUUUUAAUAUUGAGGAAUAUUUGGAGAUUAAAAGAUUAGAGUAAUUCUGAGCUCAUUAAAUUGUAGAUUGUCAUUUCUUAUGAGGAUUUACUUUUCUGGUACAACAUGUUCUUAUCACUAGUUAUAAUGUAUUUUUUUACUUUUGGCUUAGAUUUUGAGCCCUCUAUUCAUGACAUAUCAAAUGUAGUUCUUUAGAUAUGCUGCUUUCUAAUUAGGAAGCAGAAUGUGAUUGCCUACUAUUCUCUAGCCACGUACCUACUAGUGAAUAUAUAAAGGAUGGAAUUCAGGCCGUGGUUUAUGAAAUUCAGGCUGUGUUUUUGAGUACUUCCAAGUAUGUUUCAAGUAACUUGGUUAUGGUUUUGAAUGACUAGGAAAAUGCUUUGCUUUUUUUGAAAGGGAAAUUGUUCAAAAAUGAGAUUCAAUGGAAAACACAGAGGGUGCUAAAAAUGCAGAGACAUUGUAUAAACCUAUAAGAAAUUUUACAUGGAACCAGAAUUUUGAUGCCCCUUAAAAGGAAACCAAUGAGAUUCCUUAUUCAUUAGUACUUUGAAAGUUGGCAGUGGAAUGAGGAUCUGUGGAGGAAGGGACAGCUGGAUCUUGCACUCAGGACUUCUGCCCUCUGCUCCUCAAAGAACUCAUUAGUCACUGUUCCCACUCCCACCCUGGCACCAAGGAAAAUGUGGAUGUUUCCACCUUUCCCACCCAGGCCUAUUUAGGGCAUACAACCCUUCCUGAAUUUCCUGCAGUACAGUUGAGAUCACACUGUAGCCUCUAACAAGCAUUUACCAGAGAUUCAGCGAUGACAACAGAGAACUACAAUAUAAUGAGUAACAGAUAACCACUCCAUAGAUGUUGCAUGCAUUUCCGAGUGUAUACAGCCCAUUCUCACCUUACAGGAGAACCAGGAAAAGAGAACAAUUUGGGAAGGUCUCUUCAUUUAAUUUUUCCCACACUGCUGCCUCUUCUAUCUUUGGCUUGUUUCUUCUUCUCACUUAGGAGGAAGUGGUUCUCAGAUAAUUGACUAAUCACUUCUUCAUGGUCGUGAACUCAAGGACUUACCUGUUAUGAGGGGAGAAGCAUAAUAAAGAUUACAUCAUGUGAACUUUUGAAAUAAAAUGCCCGAAGACAUAAGAGAGACCCUUACCACUGUCACACUCAAAAGGAAAGCUUAGUAGCUACAGAGAUUUAAAAAGCAAGCAAACAAGCAACCAAGCAAACAACAAAGACCUGAAGAAAAUUCCAGAAUAAUCCUCAACCUGUGCUUUCACAUGCUAAAUUUUCAUAAUGAGAAAGAUAAACUGUGUAUCUUGUGGUGUCAGUGGUCAGUGUGGUGAUAGUAGUUGUGGUUUGGGCUGCUUUUUUCCUUGUUUAUUUUUUCCAAAUUUUAUUUGGGAAAAUUUCUGCUGUUUCCAUUGUGAACUAAAGUUACAUAUAC